This 85-nucleotide transfer RNA is filed under the name Felis catus (domestic cat). It matches the Rfam family "tRNA". From Rfam's summary of the family: Transfer RNA (tRNA) molecules are approximately 80 nucleotides in length. Their secondary structure includes four short double-helical elements and three loops (D, anti-codon, and T loops). Further hydrogen bonds mediate the characteristic L-shaped molecular structure. tRNAs have two regions of fundamental functional importance: the anti-codon, which is responsible for specific mRNA codon recognition, and the 3' end, to which the tRNAs corresponding amino acid is attached (by aminoacyl-tRNA synthetases). tRNAs cope with the degeneracy of the genetic code in two manners: having more than one tRNA (with a specific anti-codon) for a particular amino acid; and 'wobble' base-pairing, i.e. permitting non-standard base-pairing at the 3rd anti-codon position. Lineage: Eukaryota; Metazoa; Chordata; Mammalia; Carnivora; Felidae. The record is from Rfam by way of RNAcentral.
GCCUGGGUGGCUCAAUCGGUUGGGCAUCCGACUUCAGCUCAGGUCAUGGACUCGCAGUUCGUGGGUUCGAGUCCCGCAUCGGGCU